UGGCUCAUAAGUAAUUCAAAUAUAUAGAUUUGCAAUAAACAUCAGAAGAGAGUACGUCUUGUGUACUUGCACAUACUUAUACAACAAUAUUCUAAAUGUGUAAACAAUUGUUCGAAAAGCACUCUUACAAUAGUUCAAUAUAUUCUAGCAAAGAAUAUAUUUCACAAAAUCAAACAUAAUGUAUUCAAACUUUUACAAUGGUUCAAAAAUACUUCAUCAGCCACUUCAAUGAGCUCAAAUUGACUUGUCGAGACCCUUCAAAUUUGAUCACCUCCAUUUCCCUACACAUUUAGAAUUUUACGACAAAAUCAGAUUGCAACAAUUAUAGAAGAGGCAAAGAGUUCCACAUUCCACAUUGCACAACAGUUCUGGAUUUUAAAUUUUACGGAAAGAUGUGGUCCAAUUUGUGAAGCUGCACUAUUUUUCCAACAACACCCUCAUAAUCACACAGUUAUAAAAAAACAGAGGAGCUGUUAAUAUUGUUAUUGCAUUUAAUGGGUGGUAAUUUCCUUGUAUUUCAACUCUGCUUUGACAGGUAUGCUCACACUCAACAUUAGCAUCUUAUUUCCACUCUCCUAUUUUCUAUUCCCCUAUCCUAGUUUUUAAAAGUUUUAGUCAUUCCUAGUUGAAUUUACCUAAAGCAUAUCAUGCACAGAUGCCGUAUGCCUCCUUUGCUAAUUUGUCUAAGAUAUAAACUUGAAUUUUCUUGAUGAUGGCCUAAUAGAUCUUAAUGUUAUGAGAGAACAGAUGAUACUAAGACCAAAGUUUCAGGGAAUGCAUAUCCAUUAACUUACCAGAAAUCUAGAAGUUACAACUUACAAAAACCUUUCUAGGUUUUUUUAUUAUUUCCUUCUGGAAAAUAAUGCUUUGGAAGGGACACAAAAUGAGUCAGCUGCUUGUUGAGUUGAUUUGAAAAAGACAUCAAAAGUAGAUGUUUAGCUAUAUGAAUUCUAGAUGUUAAAGAUAAGCAUGGAACCUUAUAAAACAACAACUAUACAUCAAUUCAAAACUAGUUGCUUUAGCUAUAUGAAUCCUCAAUAUUCAUUUUCAUUUCAAAACCUGAUGGAUUUCCAGAUUCCAGAUUUCCAGAUUUUUAGAUUUCAGAUUCCAGAUUUCCAGUGUGCAACUUUAACAGAAAAAGUGUGUAACUUUAACAGAAAACUGUCAAUCAAACUGCACCUCCGGAUCUUGUCCGGACCAUUCUUGCGACUAAAAUUCACUACCAGCCCAUGGUUUAUAAUCAACCAAUCUAGAAACCCAACGCAAAUGUAGAAUUCACAUGCUCAUCUACUUGGGAUCAUAUUACAGAGAAAAGAAACAAGCUCACAAUUUUGGUCCACAACGUUUCAAGUGUUUCUGCUGCUAUAAAUCAGUAAAACACACCAUUGAUCACAAUUUUUUGGCAGGGCACUUUGCUAGAAAUAUCUAAAAUAUUUAUGUUGAUUCUCUAGUGAUUGACAGUGAUUAUAAACGGAUGGUGCCAUAACUACACAUACAAAUCAGCAACCAAAUCUACUAUUUCUACUCAUAAUAACUAUAAUGAUCUUGUUGUGCAAGAUCAAACUAACAGCCAACAAGAACAACUAGACAAAGUUGAGGAAAAUACAGUUGAGAGGUUCCAGAGGACAGAAAGUGAGAGAAAAGCCUUAAGGAACCAAGAAAAUACCUUUUGAAGAACCAAAUCAUGAGUUGACCCUGAAGAAUGUGGAAUAUUUUUUGCUCUUACAGUUUGUGCGCUACUUGCAUCAACAGGUGAAAUAUUAUUGUGGCUGUAGACCUAAAAUGGUGUAGUGUACAAUUCUGAAAAGCUGCUAAUGAAUCAACAAGAAGGCAAAGACACCUUAAAGCUAUAAACUUUGAGUGGAAAAGAGAACCAAUAAAUUUCUAUCCAGAAUCACAUUUUUGAAAUUUGUAAUCCUUAUUUCAUUAACCAACCAAAUAGAGCAAACCUCAUACUCAAGCUGGAAAUUUUUAGUUUUCUAAUAUUGGCGUAGCAAAGAAAAAUGACAGCCAUUUCGAGAUUAACCUGAUUUAAAACAAACUUAAAACGAUGAACAUAUUAAUUUUCUCCUGAGGAGGUUUCAUCAAUUGCAAAAUAUCAGAUAAAUAAGUUGUUAACCCAACUUGUUUGAGUUUACAGGGUACAAGUAUUAACCGCUAAUUUGUAUUUUCUGCAAGAAAGCAACAGAAAAUAGAGUUGGCAGAAAUCCAUUAAGGAUUGAAGGAUGUGUGGUCAGAAAUAAUACAAAAGCAUUAACUGAACAAAGGAACAAACCUUGAGAUAAAAAUAUCAGAGUUAAGCAUAGAGGAAUCACUGUGAAGAAGACAGGGACAAUAUGAUGGUUUCCAUCUGAGAAGCACUCUGACUACCAGGAUUAUUAUUUGAAUUCAUCAUAAAGCCACCAUUUGCCUGUGGAAUACAAAAGAAAAAACAAAAAUCAUAGAGAGAUAAUAAUAAUGCAAUGAAAGGGCAGGUUGGUGCACUAAGCUUCUGCUAUGCACGGUGAAGGGUUGGAUCAUAUGUGGGAAUAAUUUACCAGUAAUGCAUAAUUUACAUAUGGUAUUGGAAAGUUGCUGCCUAUUACCUUUAGAUGCUGAAAAUUUAAAUCAAAUUCAUGCUAGCAGGUCUUUGUUUUUCACUUUGUGUUAACAAAAUUAACCAAAAAAAGUAACUAAGCGAGUUGCGGUGAAAAUACCGCUUUGAAGAAGAUAAUGUUGCUUCUCCACAAUUAGACAUCAGAAGCUGAGUCUGUAGACAGUAAUGAAGUACCAAUAUUCUCAUUACAACAUUUUCUUUCGACUUGUUACAUAAUGCAAGGUUGUUUCCACUAUUUUCUUUCUGUUAACUCUCCAAAUUCAUCAUAGAGGAAAUCGCUCCAAAAUCAAAAUGGUGAAACUCUGGCAUAAGAAUGCAAAGUAAGGAUAGA
RNAcentral lists this long non-coding RNA (2927 nucleotides) under Solanum tuberosum (potato). RNAcentral's name for it is "long non-coding RNA (STUB_LNC006185)". Lineage: Eukaryota; Viridiplantae; Streptophyta; Magnoliopsida; Solanales; Solanaceae. The record is from RNAcentral.